Long non-coding RNA from Homo sapiens (human), 900 nucleotides. Ensembl annotates it as long intergenic non-protein coding RNA 2189. The record is from Ensembl. NCBI's taxonomy places the organism in Eukaryota, Metazoa, Chordata, Mammalia, Primates, Hominidae.
AUAAAGCCAGGGUUCCGAGGCAAGUCUGAGGUCAUCAGCCAAGGGUGUCUGCAUCGGACAACACUCAACUCGGGAUUGGCACCCAGCCAGUGCCCUACACUAUACAAGAUGCCACUGUAGGGACAGGGAUGACCUCUAGCAAGGUGACCCUCAGUGGGCCAGAGGGGGCUUCUGAAGAGAAUUUCUCUAGCUUCUUGGUGUUUCCUGCCUGCUACUUUCAAACAAGGGUCCCAUUUUUAAUGUUUUCCCAGUAAUACCUUAUGAAUGUUAUUGCAAAGCCCGGGUCUGCACUCUACUGGGAUUUGCUGGGCUAGAUUCUCAGAGGAGCUCAACAUUGAUUGAGUUCCUCGCUCCACGUUAAAUCUUUGGAAAAUUAACUAAAGAUCUCCUAGUAAGAUGCUUGUAACUUACUACAUAAGGUGAAAUAGUGACUUUACAGUACAAAAACUAUAACCCAAGUAUUACCACCAGCAGCGGGCUAAAUCAACACCACAGGCCCCGUGAUCAAUAUAUGUGAUGAGGACAUUACAUCCUGGUGUUGUUGCCCCAAGUCUUGACGUGAAUCUGACCACAAGGACAAUUCGGACAACCUGAAAUGGUGACGCAUUCUACAAAAUAAACAUCAAUGUCAUGAAAGACAAAGACUCAAGAUUUUCUGCUUAAUGGAGACUAAAGAGAUGCGACAACAGAAUGCCAGGCAUGAUCUUGGAUAUUCUUUUGGCUCAAACAGUCUUAGGACAAUUGAAAAAACGUGAAUGAGGUCUGUAGCUAAUAGAAUUGUGUCAAUGCCACAUCCUUGGUUUUGUUAAUUGCAUUGUGGUUACAGAAGAGAAUCCCUUUGUUUUCAGGAAAUGCACACAGCAGUAUUUAAUAGUAAAGGCACAUCUUGUCUGCAACUUC